AGUGAACGCUGGCGGUAGGCCUAACACAUGCAAGUCGAACGGCAGCACAGAGGAGCUUGCUCCUUGGGUGGCGAGUGGCGGACGGGUGAGGAAUACAUCGGAAUCUACUCUGCCGUGGGGGAUAACGUAGGGAAACUUACGCUAAUACCGCAUACGACCUACGGGUGAAAGCAGGGGACCUUCGGGCCUUGCGCGAUUGAAUGAGCCGAUGUCGGAUUAGCUAGUUGGCGGGGUAAAGGCCCACCAAGGCGACGAUCCGUAGCUGGUCUGAGAGGAUGAUCAGCCACACUGGAACUGAGACACGGUCCAGACUCCUACGGGAGGCAGCAGUGGGGAAUAUUGGACAAUGGGCGCAAGCCUGAUCCAGCCAUACCGCGUGGGCGAAGAAGGCCUUCGGGUUGUAAAGCCCUUUUGUUGGGAAAGAAAUCCAGCUGGCUAAUACCCGGUUGGGAUGACGGUACCCAAAGAAUAAGCACCGGCUAACUUCGUGCCAGCCGCCGCGGUAA
RNAcentral lists this ribosomal RNA (506 nucleotides) under uncultured bacterium. RNAcentral's name for it is "partial 16S ribosomal RNA". It matches the Rfam family "Bacterial small subunit ribosomal RNA", at positions 29 to 523 of the family's 1533-position model. The record is from RNAcentral.